This 216-nucleotide ribosomal RNA is filed under the name Glomeromycotina sp. RNAcentral describes it as "partial small subunit ribosomal RNA". The stretch from base 40 to 216 matches the Rfam family "Eukaryotic small subunit ribosomal RNA", at positions 686 to 864 of the family's 1831-position model. Lineage: Eukaryota; Fungi; Glomeromycota. The record is from RNAcentral.
GGGUCAGUAGGUUGGUCGUGCCACCGGUACGUACUGGUCUCACUGAUUCCUCCUUCCUGAAGAACCGUAAUGCCAUUAAUUUGGUGUUGCGGGGAAACAGGACUGUUACUUUGAAAAAAUUAGAGUGUUUAAAGCAGGCUCGCGCUUGAGUACAUUAGCAUGGAAUAAUGAAAUAGGACGAUCGAUCCUAUUUUGUUGGUUUCUAGGAUUGACGUA